This 557-nucleotide ribosomal RNA is filed under the name Trichoderma asperellum. Its description in RNAcentral is "eukaryotic LSU rRNA". The stretch from base 201 to 354 matches the Rfam family "5.8S ribosomal RNA". Lineage: Eukaryota; Fungi; Ascomycota; Sordariomycetes; Hypocreales; Hypocreaceae. The record is from RNAcentral.
ACUGCGGAGGGAUCAUUACCGAGUUACAACUCCCAAACCCAAUGUGAACGUUACCAAACUGUUGCCUCGGCGGGGUCACGCCCCGGGUGCGUCGCAGCCCCGGAACCAGGCGCCCGCCGGAGGAACCAACCAAACUCUUUCUGUAGUCCCCUCGCGGACGUAUUUCUUACAGCUCUGAGCAAAAAUUCAAAAUGAAUCAAAACUUUCAACAACGGAUCUCUUGGUUCUGGCAUCGAUGAAGAACGCAGCGAAAUGCGAUAAGUAAUGUGAAUUGCAGAAUUCAGUGAAUCAUCGAAUCUUUGAACGCACAUUGCGCCCGCCAGUAUUCUGGCGGGCAUGCCUGUCCGAGCGUCAUUUCAACCCUCGAACCCCUCCGGGGGAUCGGCGUUGGGGAUCGGGACCCCUCACACGGGUGCCGGCCCCGAAAUACAGUGGCGGUCUCGCCGCAGCCUCUCCUGCGCAGUAGUUUGCACAACUCGCACCGGGAGCGCGGCGCGUCCACGUCCGGAACACACCCAACUUUCUGAAAUGUUGACCUCGGAUCAGGUAGGAUACCC